RNAcentral lists this ribosomal RNA (695 nucleotides) under uncultured bacterium. RNAcentral's name for it is "bacterial SSU rRNA". It matches the Rfam family "Bacterial small subunit ribosomal RNA", at positions 8 to 745 of the family's 1533-position model. The record is from RNAcentral.
AGAGUUUGAUCCUGGCUCAGGAUGAACGCUGGCGGUAUGCUUAACACAUGCAAGUCGAACGGAAUGCUUAGGCAUUUAGUGGCGGACGGGUGAGUAACGCGUGAGAAUCUACAUUCAGGUCGGGGACAACCACUGGAAACGGUGGCUAAUACCGGAUGUGCCGAGAGGUGAAAGGCUUGCCGCCUGAGAAAGAGCUCGCGUCUGAUUAGCUAGUUGGGGGUGUAAGAGACCACCAAGGCGACGAUCAGUAGCUGGUCUGAGAGGAUGAUCAGCCACACUGGGACUGAGACACGGCCCAGACUCCUACGGGAGGCAGCAGUGGGGAAUUUUCCGCAAUGGGCGAAAGCCUGACGGAGCAAUACCGCGUGAGGGAGGAAGGCUCUUGGGUUGUAAACCUCUUUUCUCAGGGAAGAAAAAAAUGACGGUACCUGAGGAAUAAGCAUCGGCUAACUCCGUGCCAGCAGCCGCGGUAAUACGGAGGAUGCAAGCGUUAUCCGGAAUGAUUGGGCGUAAAGGGUCCGCAGGUGGCACUGUAAGUCUGCUGUCAAAGAGCAAGGCUCAACCUUGUAAAGGCAGUGGAAACUACAGAGCUAGAGUACGUUCGGGGCAGAAGGAAUUCCUGGUGUAGCGGUGAAAUGCGUAGAGAUCAGGAAGAACACCGGUGGCGAAAGCGUUCUGCUAGGCCUGUACUGACA